AAUGUUGGGGGAAAAUUUAUUGGUCUAUGCGACCGCAUAGAAGGAUUCUAUGCGGUCGCAUAGACCAAUAAAUUUUCCCCCAACAUU
RNAcentral lists this microRNA precursor (87 nucleotides) under Olea europaea subsp. europaea. Lineage: Eukaryota; Viridiplantae; Streptophyta; Magnoliopsida; Lamiales; Oleaceae. The record is from RNAcentral.